RNAcentral lists this ribosomal RNA (496 nucleotides) under uncultured bacterium. RNAcentral describes it as "partial 16S ribosomal RNA". It matches the Rfam family "Bacterial small subunit ribosomal RNA", at positions 29 to 507 of the family's 1533-position model. The record is from RNAcentral.
AUGAACGCUGGCGGCGUGCCUAAUACAUGCAAGUCGAGCGAACAGACGAGGAGCUUGCUCCUCUGACGUUAGCGGCGGACGGGUGAGUAACACGUGGAUAACCUACCUAUAAGACUGGGAUAACUUCGGGAAACCGGAGCUAAUACCGGAUAAUAUAUUGAACCGCAUGGUUCAAUAGUGAAAGACGGUUUUGCUGUCACUUAUAGAUGGAUCCGCGCCGCAUUAGCUAGUUGGUAAGGUAACGGCUUACCAAGGCGACGAUGCGUAGCCGACCUGAGAGGGUGAUCGGCCACCCUGGAACUGAGACACGGUCACGACUCCUACGGGAGGCAGCAGUAGGGAAUCUUCCGCAAUGGGCGAAAGCCUGACGGAGCAACGCCGCGUGAGUGAUGAAGGUCUUCGGAUCGUAAAACUCUGUUAUUAGGGAAGAACAAAUGUGUAAGUAACUAUGCACGUCUUGACGGUACCUAAUCAGAAAGCCACGGCUAACUACGUG